GAUAAACGCUGGCGGCGUGCCUAACACAUGCAAGUCGAACGAUCCCGCAAGGGAGAGUGGCGGAAGGGUGAGUAACACGUGGGAAUCUACCUCCUCGCGAGGGAACAACCUCUCGAAAGAGAGGCUAAUACCCAAAAGGGUCAGAAAUGAUCAGAGUCGAAAGGCGUGAGGAGAGGAGCCCGCGGCCCAUCAGCUAGUUGGUGAGGUAAUGGCUUACCAAGGCUACGACGGGUAGGGGAUCUGAGAGGAUGUCCCCCACACUGGAACUGAAACACGGUCCAGACGCCUACGGGUGGCAGCAGUGAGGAAUAUUGGACAAUGGGCGAAAGCCCGAUCCAGCAACGCCGCGUGGAGGAUGAAGGCCUUCGGGUCGUAAACUUCUUUAGAGGGAGACGAGAAAGGACGGUAUCCCUAGAAUAAGCGACGGCAAACUACGUGCCAGCAGCCG
RNAcentral lists this ribosomal RNA (448 nucleotides) under uncultured bacterium. Its description in RNAcentral is "bacterial SSU rRNA". It matches the Rfam family "Bacterial small subunit ribosomal RNA", at positions 28 to 517 of the family's 1533-position model. The record is from RNAcentral.